Molecule: ribosomal RNA, 376 nt
Filed under: uncultured bacterium
Lineage: Bacteria
Description: bacterial SSU rRNA
Rfam family: Bacterial small subunit ribosomal RNA
Source: RNAcentral
AUUGAACGCUGGCGGCAUGCCUUACACAUGCAAGUCGAACGGUAACGCGGGGCAACCUGGCGACGAGUGGCGAACGGGUGAGUAAUGCAUCGGAACGUACCCAGUAGUGGGGGAUAGCCCGGCGAAAGCCGGAUUAAUACCGCAUACGACCUAAGGGUGAAAGCGGGGGACCGUAAGGCCUCGCGCUAUUGGAGCGGCCGAUGUCAGAUUAGGUAGUUGGUGGGGUAAAGGCCUACCAAGCCUUCGAUCUGUAGCUGGUCUGAGAGGACGGACCAGCCACACUGGGACUGAGACACGGCCCAGACUCCUACGGGAGGCAGCAGUGGGGAAUUUUGGACAAUGGGCGAAAGCCUGAUCCAGCCAUGCCGCGUGCGGG